Schistosoma mansoni is the source of this 45-nucleotide non-coding RNA. The record is from Rfam. Lineage: Eukaryota; Metazoa; Platyhelminthes; Trematoda; Strigeidida; Schistosomatidae.
AUCCGGCUGACGAGUCCCAAAUAGGACGAAAUGCGCGUCCUGGAU